Molecule: long non-coding RNA, 256 nt
Organism: Alosa sapidissima (American shad)
Lineage: Eukaryota; Metazoa; Chordata; Actinopteri; Clupeiformes; Clupeidae
Exons: 2
Source: RefSeq, a predicted model, not a curated record
CAUGAAGGCCAAAAGCAGACUGGUGAGGUAAACACUGUUCAGAUGGAGCAAAUGAGAGAGAUGCUGGAGAGGGAGUGGAGCAGAUGGGAAAUUGGAAUCACAGAGAGAUGCCAGCACAUGCUAUCAGACAAUCAGAUGUGUCAUCUGAAGCUGAUGUGCAUGACCUGGAACACUCAUUCAGAAAGGUCGUCAGUUGGAUGCAUAAUCUGACAUCAGGACAGAUGAGAUGAGGACUUAGAAACUGAGGAAAUGGUUU